Molecule: ribosomal RNA, 775 nt
Filed under: uncultured Escherichia sp.
Lineage: Bacteria; Pseudomonadati; Pseudomonadota; Gammaproteobacteria; Enterobacterales; Enterobacteriaceae
Description: bacterial SSU rRNA
Rfam family: Bacterial small subunit ribosomal RNA
Source: RNAcentral
AAGCGCACGCAGGCGGUUUGUUAAGUCAGAUGUGAAGUCCCCGGGCUCAACCUGGGAACUGCAUCUGAUACUGGCAAGCUUGAGUCUCGUAGAGGGGGGUAGAAUUCCAGGUGUAGCGGUGAAAUGCGUAGAGAUCUGGAGGAAUACCGGUGGCGAAGGCGGCCCCCUGGACGAAGACUGACGCUCAGGUGCGAAAGCGUGGGGAGCGAACAGGAUUAGAUACCCUGGUAGUCCACGCCGUAAACGAUGUCGACUUGGAGGUUGUGCCCUUGAGGCGUGGCUUCCGGAGCUAACGCGUUAAGUCGACCGCCUGGGGAGUACGGCCGCAAGGUUAAAACUCAAAUGAAUUGACGGGGGCCCGCACAAGCGGUGGAGCAUGUGGUUUAAUUCGAUGCAACGCGAAGAACCUUACCUGGUCUUGACAUCCACGGAAGUUUUCAGAGAUGAGAAUGUGCCUUCGGGAACCGUGAGACAGGUGCUGCAUGGCUGUCGUCAGCUCGUGUUGUGAAAUGUUGGGUUAAGUCCCGCAACGAGCGCAACCCUUAUCCUUUGUUGCCAGCGGUCCGGCCGGGAACUCAAAGGAGACUGCCAGUGAUAAACUGGAGGAAGGUGGGGAUGACGUCAAGUCAUCAUGGCCCUUACGACCAGGGCUACACACGUGCUACAAUGGCGCAUACAAAGAGAAGCGACCUCGCGAGAGCAAGCGGACCUCAUAAAGUGCGUCGUAGUCCGGAUUGGAGUCUGCAACUCGACUCCAUGAAGUCGGAAUCGCUAG